Molecule: ribosomal RNA, 1414 nt
Filed under: metagenome
Description: bacterial LSU rRNA
Rfam family: Bacterial large subunit ribosomal RNA
Source: RNAcentral
UGACGACUUAUCGUCACCAGCCAGGUUAAGCGGCUAUGCCGCGGAGCCGAAGGGAAACCGAGUCUCAAACGGGCGAGAAGUUGGUGGCGGUAGACGCGAAACCACGUGACCUACGCAUGGCCAGGAUGAAGUUGGGGUAACACCCAAUGGAAGACCGAACUCACUAGUGUUGAAAAACUAGGGGAUGAGCUGUGUGGGGGAGUGAAAGUCUAACCAAACGUGGAGAUAGCUCGUUCUCUCCGAAAUAACUUUAGGGUUAACGUUCGACUAGUUGGCAUUGGGGGUAGAGCGACUGAAUUCGAAUGGGGGCCUACCCGGCUACCCAUCGAAACCAAACUCCGAAUACCAGUGUACCAAGGUCGGGCAGCUAGACGGUGGGGGAUAAGCUUCAUCGUCGAGAGGGGAACAACCCAGAUCACCCGCUAAGGUCCCCAAAUCAUGCUAAGUGCGAAAGGAAGUUGGAUCCCUAAGACAGCCAGGAUGUUGGCUUAGAAGCAGCCACCAUUUAAACAACGCGUAAUAGCGGACUGGUCGAGGGGUCCUGCGCCGAUAAUGAACGGGACUCAAGCAUGAUACCGAAGCGGUGGGCGUAAUGCGGUAGGAGAGCGUUGCAGUUGCGGCGAAGGAGUACGGACAACGAGCUCUGGAGCGGCUGCAAGUGAUUAUGUCGGAACGAGUAGACGAUAAAACGGGUGAGAAUCCCGUUCGCCGUAAGCCUAAGGUUUCCUGGGGAAGGUAAAUCCGCCCAGGGUUAGCCGGUGCCUAACAUGAGGCCGAAAGGCGUAGUGGAUGGGAAGCAGGUUAAUAUUCCUGCGCUCCCGGUACAACAUGGGACGCUGGUCGCGAGGGUAGCAGGCUUAUUAGAUUGCCUCAGGGCGUUUAUGAUCCCGAUACACCUGACCGAACAGCCAAGAAAACCGUACCGGAAACCGUACUAAAACCGACACAGGUAGGCGAGAUGAGUAUUCUAAGGCGCUCGAGAGAACGCUCGUGAAGGAACUCUGCAACAUGGCUCCGUAACUUCGGGAUAAGGAGCGCCCCCUCUGGGGGCCGCAGUGAAAAGGGUCUAGCGACUGUUUAUCAAAAACACAGGUCUGUGCCAAGGCGUAAGCCGCAGUAUACAGACUGACGCCUGCCCGGUGCUGGUAAGUUAAGGAAGAGGGUUAGCCGUAAGGUGAAGCUCGCAACCGAAGCUCCAGUAAACGGCGGCCGUAACUAUGACGGUCCUAAGGUAGCGAAGUUCCUUGUCGGGUAAGUUCCGACCUGCAUGAAUGGCGUAACGACUGGACCACUGUCUCCACGAGCGACUCGGUGAAACUGUAGUUGUCGUGAAGAUGCGACAUACCCGCAGCUAGACGGAAAGACCCCGUGAACCUUAACUGCAGCUUGGUAUUGGGUUUAGACCCAACAUGCG